GGUUGCGAUCAUACCAUCACUAAUGCACCGGAUCCCAUCAGAACUCCGCAGUUAAGCGUGCUUGGGCGAGAGUAGUAUUAGGAUGGGUGACCCCCUGGGAAGUCCUCGUGUUGCAACCC
RNAcentral lists this ribosomal RNA (119 nucleotides) under Helianthus annuus (common sunflower). Lineage: Eukaryota; Viridiplantae; Streptophyta; Magnoliopsida; Asterales; Asteraceae. The record is from RNAcentral.